UACAUGGGUCCAGUAAAGGUACACAACCUCCGGGCGAAUGCAGAGACCCUAUAAUUUAUAUAAUACACGUUUAGUCCACGACUACGACCGAGACCCUCCCCAUGCUCCCCCGUCUUUUUCUCAACAACACAGUUGUUACGUCACUGUCCAACACUCUAGUAAGUCUACCUGACUGGCUCACAACACUCUAGUAACUUUAAAACGACGUUGUAAAACUUAAACGUCCCCUACCCUGUGGAACGCUACACGGACUUCGGAACUACGUUAUACUGGCGUUACUACAACGAUCUGUUAGUCCAAUAGUAGACAGUAAAGCGAAACAAGAUUUUUAACUCAAUAGAAACGUAAGUCAAUUGUAUCAAGAAACGGCUGUAGGUACUCGUACUCCUACUUCACCCAUCCCCUAACACGCACCACAGUCCGACCUACUCCUCAUUGGAUUCCAACGUCUAUCCGUACCAGUCCUGUAGCACUUCCCACUCUACCCACUAUUCAAGACUCCUUUUCGACCAAACUUCCUACUUCUCGGUUUGUGUUCUCUGUACGAUGAAAGAUACUGUCCUACAACAGUAUGUGAAGGUCUCUUGAAUCGUUCUCUUCUGAAGCACUCCCUCAAGCCUGGUUUGCCCGACAACUGUCACCUAAGCACACAGCGCCGACUAGUAAUGUUCCUUCCAGCCUACAAACUAUCAACUGUCUAGUCUACUACGACGGCCACGGUUACAUGCUCCAGGUAUCACAUACUCCACUAAAACUACUCCCCCUGUCCCAACUCGACGGUCUAAAGUACGAACUUCACGAGAAAGACUCCAUACUCAAUAUGCCUACAUCAUAAAAUCUAGGCCACAGACGCUCUAACUAAUACUUUGUGCAACACAUGUAAUCUGUAACCUCCCCUUACAAUCGAUGGUAGAGUAAAACACCACACCAUCACUAAGAUUCGGGUCACAAACGGUGUAACUCGAAUUGGACAUAAAACUCGUUCUGUACCGUUCGAUCUAAUGUAGGAUCAGUCGACCGCACCUUCACGAACACUAGUGAGACACGAAUCGAUAUGAUAUAAACGUACAUUCCUAACUAUACGGUGUACAACUUCCACCAUUGACUUGGUCG
This 1113-nucleotide ribosomal RNA is filed under the name Triticum aestivum (bread wheat). RNAcentral's name for it is "partial small subunit ribosomal RNA". The record is from RNAcentral. Lineage: Eukaryota; Viridiplantae; Streptophyta; Magnoliopsida; Poales; Poaceae.